UCAAAACCUUCAUUUGCUAGUACAGAUACGAAAAUCAAAUUCCAACUAGCUACAGAAAUAAAAUAAUAGUCCUUUAAAUCUAAUAUAAAAUUAGACGAUAAUUGAAGAGGAUAAGUGCCAAUAGCUUCUGCAGCAACUUUUGCUCCAUUGCCAAUCCGAAGGCUCAUGUCAUCUUUCCUCAACCUCUUACUUUUUAUUAGAUCCUGCAUUG
RNAcentral lists this long non-coding RNA (211 nucleotides) under Elaeis guineensis (African oil palm). RNAcentral describes it as "long non-coding RNA (EGUI_LNC042182)". Lineage: Eukaryota; Viridiplantae; Streptophyta; Magnoliopsida; Arecales; Arecaceae. The record is from RNAcentral.